RNAcentral lists this unclassified non-coding RNA (712 nucleotides) under Penaeus japonicus. RNAcentral describes it as "crustacean hyperglycemic hormones 2, transcript variant X2". Lineage: Eukaryota; Metazoa; Arthropoda; Malacostraca; Decapoda; Penaeidae. The record is from RNAcentral.
CACAUUUCCGAAGAAACAUUGAAGGCCUUUUAGACUAGCUAUGAUUGCCUUCCAUAUGGUGUGGUCGGCGCUUCUGGCGUCUUUGCUGCUGCUGAUCUUGGCGCCGUCCGCUUCUCCCGUCGAUGCCUUUUCCCCUCCUGAGGCAUCCCUCACAGGAGGCCAGAGUCUCAGCAAACGCUCGCUCUUCGAUCCUUCGUGCACUGGCGUCUUUGACCGACAGCUCCUGCGAAGGCUCGGCCGCGUGUGCGAUGACUGUUUCAACGUAUUCCGGGAACCCAACGUAGCUAUGGAAUGCAGGAGUAACUGUUACAACAAUCCAGUGUUCCGCCAGUGCAUGGAAUACCUCCUUCCGGCACACCUUCACGACGAGUACAGAUUAGCUGUGCAGAUGGUCGGGAAAUAGGCUAGACGGCUAAGAAACUCUGCAUUUCCUUUCGCUGACGACCAGAACCCGAUAUUGACUGCCUUCCUGAGUGCCCGCCGUGGGGACAAGAUUCGGGGACGGCGGAUGCAAACCCCUUCCAUAUAAGCAGGAUGUUUGGAACAUACAGAUAGACCGGGAAUCGACACGCUACCGCUGACGCCUGAUUUCUCCGCCUGUUAUACGUGUUGUGAUAUUGUUUAUUGCUGUGGCCAAUGUGCUGUAGUGAUUAUUUCUAUCGUGCACCAUAACGGCAGACUAUCUGCGUUAUGGAAUAAACCUGUAAUGUUC